AACAGGGGGCCAUGGUGGUGCUUGGGUCAACUGUCAUUCGUGUCCACUCAGAUCCUAUGUCUAAUAGUCCUUGAAAGAUCUAGGGGUUCUCCUUUCUCCGGUGUAGAAUUACUCAGCAUCCUUCCUCAAAGGGACCUGACCUCCCCUUCAAUCAAUGAGUCCUGGAUCUUAGAGCUGACUCACAUGCAGAAACUGGGGAUGCUGCUUCGCUGCCUGAACCUUACUGAGACUUGACCAUAAUUGAUCUACAGCAAAGGGGAGAGGCAGGAGCAGAUCUUCAGGACAGCAAACAUUGUCUGGGAAGGUGGAGAAUUCUGCAGAAUUUCAGAAGCACUGGCUUAGUGUGUUGGAAAUCGUUGAGGCCCUGCCAGACCGUCCGCAUGCCAUCCAGACCGUCCGCAUGCCAUCCAAACCUCCGCAUCAAUGAAAGGGAACUCAGCAAGCAGGAGCUAAGCAGCAAGCAGCCACUGCUCAGUUUGAGGUCCCAGGACAGGAAGAAUUCCUGCAGCAGACACUAAUUGCUUAGGUAAUAGCCAUUCUUCCUUUCUAACAGAAUCCCAGUUACCAUGUGGGUGACGAUGUGCUGUGCUAAAAGCACCUGUCUUC
This 606-nucleotide long non-coding RNA is filed under the name Homo sapiens (human). RNAcentral's name for it is "novel transcript". The record is from RNAcentral. Lineage: Eukaryota; Metazoa; Chordata; Mammalia; Primates; Hominidae.